GGCACCCUGGCAUAGUGGUUAGCAUGGUUGCCUCAGACCUCCAGGGUCCGGGGUUCGAGUCCCACCGGGGCCA
Ameiurus melas (black bullhead) is the source of this 73-nucleotide non-coding RNA. NCBI's taxonomy places the organism in Eukaryota, Metazoa, Chordata, Actinopteri, Siluriformes, Ictaluridae. The record is from the annotation of a GenBank genome assembly.